GGCCGGCAACCGGUGACACCUGGGGGUCUUGGGGUCUUGCUGGAGGUUGGGAUGGGCAAAGGAAGGGCCGGAAUGGGAGAAAAAUGGCCGAAAACGCGAAACAGUGCAGGCUGCAGGCGGACCGACGGACCGGCGACCGGUUCCUUCACGGCGGCGCCCAGGCCGGCCGGAGGCUCUGUUCAAGACAAAAUUGGGCUCGUUGGAACGUUCUGUCUCUCCCGGUCACGGUGAUAGGUGGCUCGUUGGCUGAUUCAUCUGGUAAGACCACUUUUGACUCGAUUCUUCACCGAAGGGUCAGCUGGAGCAGAAACUGGAGAGAGGGAAAACGAGGAAGAGAGGAGCUCGUCCGCUUGGAGGCCGAAUGGGGGAGAGAGAGAGAU
RNAcentral lists this long non-coding RNA (380 nucleotides) under Eucalyptus grandis. RNAcentral's name for it is "long non-coding RNA (EGRA_LNC001686)". The record is from RNAcentral. Lineage: Eukaryota; Viridiplantae; Streptophyta; Magnoliopsida; Myrtales; Myrtaceae.